RNAcentral lists this ribosomal RNA (1534 nucleotides) under Bacteroides thetaiotaomicron. RNAcentral's name for it is "bacterial SSU rRNA". It matches the Rfam family "Bacterial small subunit ribosomal RNA". Lineage: Bacteria; Pseudomonadati; Bacteroidota; Bacteroidia; Bacteroidales; Bacteroidaceae. The record is from RNAcentral.
CUUUUACAAUGAAGAGUUUGAUCCUGGCUCAGGAUGAACGCUAGCUACAGGCUUAACACAUGCAAGUCGAGGGGCAGCAUUUCAGUUUGCUUGCAAACUGGAGAUGGCGACCGGCGCACGGGUGAGUAACACGUAUCCAACCUGCCGAUAACUCGGGGAUAGCCUUUCGAAAGAAAGAUUAAUACCCGAUGGUAUAAUCAGACCGCAUGGUCUUGUUAUUAAAGAAUUUCGGUUAUCGAUGGGGAUGCGUUCCAUUAGGCAGUUGGUGAGGUAACGGCUCACCAAACCUUCGAUGGAUAGGGGUUCUGAGAGGAAGGUCCCCCACAUUGGAACUGAGACACGGUCCAAACUCCUACGGGAGGCAGCAGUGAGGAAUAUUGGUCAAUGGGCGCAGGCCUGAACCAGCCAAGUAGCGUGAAGGAUGACUGCCCUAUGGGUUGUAAACUUCUUUUAUAUGGGAAUAAAGUUUUCCACGUGUGGAAUUUUGUAUGUACCGUAUGAAUAAGGAUCGGCUAACUCCGUGCCAGCAGCCGCGGUAAUACGGAGGAUCCGAGCGUUAUCCGGAUUUAUUGGGUUUAAAGGGAGCGUAGGUGGACAGUUAAGUCAGUUGUGAAAGUUUGCGGCUCAACCGUAAAAUUGCAGUUGAUACUGGCUGUCUUGAGUACAGUAGAGGUGGGCGGAAUUCGUGGUGUAGCGGUGAAAUGCUUAGAUAUCACGAAGAACUCCGAUUGCGAAGGCAGCUCACUGGACUGCAACUGACACUGAUGCUCGAAAGUGUGGGUAUCAAACAGGAUUAGAUACCCUGGUAGUCCACACAGUAAACGAUGAAUACUCGCUGUUUGCGAUAUACAGUAAGCGGCCAAGCGAAAGCAUUAAGUAUUCCACCUGGGGAGUACGCCGGCAACGGUGAAACUCAAAGGAAUUGACGGGGGCCCGCACAAGCGGAGGAACAUGUGGUUUAAUUCGAUGAUACGCGAGGAACCUUACCCGGGCUUAAAUUGCAUUUGAAUAAUCUGGAAACAGGUUAGCCGCAAGGCAAAUGUGAAGGUGCUGCAUGGUUGUCGUCAGCUCGUGCCGUGAGGUGUCGGCUUAAGUGCCAUAACGAGCGCAACCCUUAUCUUUAGUUACUAACAGGUCAUGCUGAGGACUCUAGAGAGACUGCCGUCGUAAGAUGUGAGGAAGGUGGGGAUGACGUCAAAUCAGCACGGCCCUUACGUCCGGGGCUACACACGUGUUACAAUGGGGGGUACAGAAGGCAGCUACCUGGUGACAGGAUGCUAAUCCCAAAAGCCUCUCUCAGUUCGGAUCGAAGUCUGCAACCCGACUUCGUGAAGCUGGAUUCGCUAGUAAUCGCGCAUCAGCCAUGGCGCGGUGAAUACGUUCCCGGGCCUUGUACACACCGCCCGUCAAGCCAUGAAAGCCGGGGGUACCUGAAGUACGUAACCGCAAGGAGCGUCCUAGGGUAAAACUGGUAAUUGGGGCUAAGUCGUAACAAGGUAGCCGUACCGGAAGGUGCGGCUGGAACACCUCCUUU